This 674-nucleotide ribosomal RNA is filed under the name Lacticaseibacillus paracasei. RNAcentral describes it as "bacterial SSU rRNA". It matches the Rfam family "Bacterial small subunit ribosomal RNA", at positions 778 to 1449 of the family's 1533-position model. The record is from RNAcentral. Lineage: Bacteria; Bacillati; Bacillota; Bacilli; Lactobacillales; Lactobacillaceae.
UUAGAUACCUGGUAGUCCAUGCCGUAAACGAUGAAAUGCUAGGUGUUGGAGGGUUUCCGCCCUUUCAGUGCCGCAGCUAAACGCAUUAAGCAUUCCGCCUGGGGAGUACGACCGCAAGGUUGAAACUCAAAGGAAUUGACGGGGGCCCGCACAAGCGGUGGAGCAUGUGGUUUAAUUCGAAGCAACGCGAAGAACCUUACCAGGUCUUGACAUCUUUUGAUCACCUGAGAGAUCAGGUUUCCCCUUCGGGGGCAGAAUGACAGGUGGUGCAUGGUUGUCGUCAGCUCGUGUCGUGAGAUGUUGGGUUAAGUCCCGCAACGAGCGCAACCCUUAUGACUAGUUGCCAGCAUUUAGUUGGGCACUCUAGUAAGACUGCCGGUGACAAACCGGAGGAAGGUGGGGAUGACGUCAAAUCAUCAUGCCCCUUAUGACCUGGGCUACACACGUGCUACAAUGGAUGGUACAACGAGUUGCGAGACCGCGAGGUCAAGCUAAUCUCUUAAAGCCAUUCUCAGUUCGGACUGUAGGCUGCAACUCGCCUACACGAAGUCGGAAUCGCUAGUAAUCGCGGAUCAGCACGCCGCGGUGAAUACGUUCCCGGGCCUUGUACACACCGCCCGUCACACCAUGAGAGUUUGUAACACCCGAAGCCGGUGGCGUAACCCUUUAGGAGC